This 253-nucleotide ribosomal RNA is filed under the name uncultured bacterium. RNAcentral describes it as "partial 16S ribosomal RNA". It matches the Rfam family "Bacterial small subunit ribosomal RNA", at positions 524 to 776 of the family's 1533-position model. The record is from RNAcentral.
UACGUAGGGUGCAAGCGUUGUCCGGAAUUAUUGGGCGUAAAGAGCUCGUAGGCGGUCUGUCGCGUCGGCUGUGAAAACUCGGGGCUCAACUCCGAGCUUGCGGUCGAUACGGGCAGGCUAGAGUGCGGCAGGGGAGACUGGAAUUCCUGGUGCAGCGGUGAAAUGCGCAGAUAUCAGGAGGAACACCGGUGGCGAAGGCGGGUCUCUGGGCCGAUACUGACGCUGAGGAGCGAAAGCGUGGGGAGCAAACAGG